Molecule: ribosomal RNA, 253 nt
Filed under: uncultured bacterium
Lineage: Bacteria
Description: partial 16S ribosomal RNA
Rfam family: Bacterial small subunit ribosomal RNA
Source: RNAcentral
UACGUAGGGGGCAAGCGUUGUUCGGAAUUACUGGGCGUAAAGGGCGCGUAGGCGGCGACUCAAGUUAGAUGUGAAAGUCCUGGGCUUAACCUGGGGACUGCAUUUGAUACUGGGUUGCUUGAAUUCGGGAGAGGAUAGCGGAAUUCCCAGUGUAGAGGUGAAAUUCGUAGAUAUUGGGAAGAACACCGGUGGCGAAGGCGGCUAUCUGGACCGACAUUGACGCUGAGGCGCGAAAGCGUGGGGAGCAAACAGG